Molecule: ribosomal RNA, 497 nt
Filed under: uncultured bacterium
Lineage: Bacteria
Description: partial 16S ribosomal RNA
Rfam family: Bacterial small subunit ribosomal RNA
Source: RNAcentral
GAUGAACGCUGGCGGCGUGCCUAAUACAUGCAAGUCGAGCGAACAGACGAGGAGCUUGCUCCUCUGACGUUAGCGGCGGACGGGUGAGUAACACGUGGAUAACCUCCCUAUAAGACUGGGAUAACUUCGGGAAACCGGAGCUAAUACCGGAUAAUAUAUUGAACCGCAUGGUUCAAUAGUGAAAGACGGUUUUGCUGUCACUUAUAGAUGGACCCGCGCCGCAUUAGCUAGUUGGUAAGGUAACGGCUUACCAAGGCAACGAUGCGUAGCCGACCUGAGAGGGUGAUCGGCCACACUGGAACUGAGACACGGUCCAGACUCCUACGGGAGGCAGCAGUAGGGAAUCUUCCGCAAUGGGCGAAAGCUUGACGGAGCAACGCCGCGUGAGUGAUGAAGGUCUUCGGAUCGUAAAACUCUGUUAUUAGGGAAGAACAAAUGUGUAAGUAACUAUGCACGUCUUGACGGUACCUAAUCAGAAAGCCACGGCUAACUACGUG